This 332-nucleotide ribosomal RNA is filed under the name uncultured bacterium. RNAcentral describes it as "bacterial SSU rRNA". It matches the Rfam family "Bacterial small subunit ribosomal RNA", at positions 568 to 898 of the family's 1533-position model. The record is from RNAcentral.
CGUGCAGGCGGUCUGGUAAGUUGGGUGUGAAAUCUCCUGGCUCAACUGGGAGAGGACGUUCAAUACUGUCAGACUAGAGGGCGGUAGAGGGAGGUGGAAUUCCCGGUGUAGUGGUGAAAUGCGUAGAUAUCGGGAGGAACACCAGUGGCGAAAGCGGCCUCCUGGACCGCACCUGACGCUCAGACGCGAAAGCUAGGGGAGCAAACGGGAUUAGAAACCCCGGUAGUCCUAGCUGUAAACGAUGUUGACUGGGUGUUGGUGGGGUAAAAGCCAUCAGUGCCGAAGCAAACGCGAUAAGUCAACCGCCUGGGGACUACGGCCGCAAGGUUAAA